CAGACAGUCUGAUAGUGUGCUCACUGGCCCGGCUGCAUGGAGUGAGUGAGUGCAGACAGUCUGAGUGUGAGCUCACUGGCCAGGCUGCAUGGAGUGAGUGAGUGCAGACAGUCUGAGUGUGUGCUCACUGGCCAGGCUGCAUGGAGUGAGUGAGUGCAGACAGUCUGAGUGUGUGCUCACUGGCUAGGCUGCAUGGAGUAAGUGAGUGCAGACAGUUUGAGUGUGUGCUCACUAGCCAGGCUGCUCACUGGCCAGGCUGCAUGGAGUGUGUGAGUGCAGACAGUCUGAUAGUGUGCUCACUGGUCAGGCUGCAUGGAGUGAGUGAGUGCAGACAGUCUGAGUGUGUGUGCUCACUGGUCAGGCUGCAUG
Molecule: non-coding RNA, 369 nt
Organism: Pelobates cultripes (western spadefoot toad)
Lineage: Eukaryota; Metazoa; Chordata; Amphibia; Anura; Pelobatidae
Source: the annotation of a GenBank genome assembly